Molecule: ribosomal RNA, 295 nt
Filed under: uncultured bacterium
Lineage: Bacteria
Description: partial 16S ribosomal RNA
Rfam family: Bacterial small subunit ribosomal RNA
Source: RNAcentral
AGAGUUUGAUCCUGGCUCAGGAUGAACGCUAGCGGCAGGCUUAACCCAUGCMAGUCSAGGGGUAUAGUUCUUCGGAAUUAGAGACCGGCGCACGGGUGCGUAACGCGUAUGCMAUCUAYCUUUCMCMGAGGGAUAGCCCASAGAAAUUUGGAUUAAUACCUCMUAGUAUGCMGAGUUGGCMUCAGCCCUGCAUUAAAGUUACCACGGUGAAAGAUGAGCAUGCGUCCCCUUAGCUAGUUGGUAUGGUAACSGCUUACCAAGGCUACGAUGGGUAGGGGUCCUGAGAGGGAGAUCC